UGAGGAAUAUUGGUCAAUGGGCGAGAGCCUGAACCAGCCAAGUCGCGUGAAGGAAGACUGCCCGCAAGGGUUGUAAACUUCUUUUGUAUGGGAUUAAAGUCACCUACGUGUAGGUGUUUGCAGUUACCAUACGAAUAAGCAUCGGCUAACUCCGUGCCAGCAGCCGCGGUAAUACGGAGGAUGCGAGCGUUAUCCGGAAUUAUUGGGCGUAAAGGGCUUGUAGGCGGUUGGCCGCGUCUGCCGUGAAAUCCUCUGGCUUAACUGGGGGCGUGCGGUGGGUACGGGUUGACUUGAGUGCGGUAGGGGAGACUGGAAUUCCUGGUGUAGCGGUGGAAUGCGCAGAUAUCAGGAGGAACACCGGUGGCGAAGGCGGGUCUCUGGGCCGUUACUGACGCUGAGGAGCGAAAGCGUGGGGAGCGAACAGG
RNAcentral lists this ribosomal RNA (425 nucleotides) under Verrucomicrobiota bacterium. RNAcentral's name for it is "Verrucomicrobia bacterium partial 16S ribosomal RNA". It matches the Rfam family "Bacterial small subunit ribosomal RNA", at positions 355 to 776 of the family's 1533-position model. The record is from RNAcentral. Lineage: Bacteria; Pseudomonadati; Verrucomicrobiota.